Non-coding RNA from Cristinia sonorae, 95 nucleotides. NCBI's taxonomy places the organism in Eukaryota, Fungi, Basidiomycota, Agaricomycetes, Agaricales, Stephanosporaceae. The record is from the annotation of a GenBank genome assembly.
GGUGCUAUAGUGUAGUGGUUAUCACUCGGGAUUUUGACUUCCCAGGGUCACCUGAUCACCUUCCCGAAACCCAGGUUCGAACCCUGGUAGCACCU